Molecule: long non-coding RNA, 2345 nt
Organism: Salvia splendens (bonfire salvia)
Lineage: Eukaryota; Viridiplantae; Streptophyta; Magnoliopsida; Lamiales; Lamiaceae
Exons: 4
Source: RefSeq, a predicted model, not a curated record
AGUAAUUUGUACUUAAACAUAUGUCAAAUUUGACGAGCCAAAUCGAGGAAAAUAAUAGGAGUAAUUGCACAAGACGCAAUUUAGUUCAAGUUUUUUGAAACCCAGUAAUCAGUAAUGAGUGUUAUUGCUGUAAAAAAUGAAUUGAGUGCAUAGAAAAAUAUGGUAGUAGAGUUAGUUGAUCAGAAUUAAGUGGGAUUUCACGAAUUUGGAGGCUUCAGCUGGUGAAGAAUGUGUAGGGAAUGUGAGAUCAGGUGAAAUCAGUUUAGGUCGUUGGAAUUCAAGCAGAAAGGGCGGCAGACAGGUUGAUUCGCAAAGCCAAGGAGGAGCCAGAGAGAUAGAAGAGCUCGUGUUGUGACUCUUCUAAGGGUAUAUUUGUAUGUAUGAGUGGUGUGGCCUCUUGAUUUCCAUUUGGGGCUGUUAGGUUGGAGGGGAACUUGGAAUUUAAUUUGGGUAGAGCUAUUCUUCCAUCUUAAAGACAAGAGCGAUGUGCAUUCACAUUCGGGAGUGUUCAAGCACACGGGAUUAGCAAGACGGGCAAGGUGAGCUGCCGUAUGAAGAUGUUCUGCAUAAUCAUCUGUGCAGUGGUGAUCAAUGGUUACCUCCUGAAUCUUCUCUGAGGCAUCAAACAAGAAGAGUGAACUAAAAUAAAAUAUGGGAGAAGUUAAAGGUAUUACUGGGCAGUUUGAUAUCACUAUCCAUCUUCACCUAAUGAUGCUGUCGAUAUGAUUUGGCGGACUAUUAACCGCAAGAAAAUGCGCACACAGUUGGAUCCAAAUCGGCGAAUUAGGUAUUGCAGGUCACAAUUUCAAUAAUGUUUAGCUAGGAAGUCAUAGUUAAUGUUUUCGUUAUGCCAAUUUUUGCUGUCUGUAGAAUAUGCAAACUCAGUUUUAAGGGUAGGAUGAUAAAUAGAAAGACAUGUUGUUGAGACAUAAGAACUAUAUUUCUAUAUGUGAAAAUGAACCCCCAUACAUAUUUGAGCCAUGCUAGAAUCUAUAACAUAUGUUUGCUUCUUAAAAGCUGCUCGGUCGCAGCUAUGUAUACGAGGAAGAUGCAACAGCUAAACCAAUGAAACAAUUGUAGCUGAUUAAACCUACACUGAGAAGCAGCAAAAUUUCCUCACGGCUGCAUCAAGAUAGGCUUCAAGCAUUACUUUCUAACCCCAUAAUUUUCAGGUCAGGCUCUGUUAUGUAUAGGAUCCGAUCCUCCCCGUACCGUUCUUUUUUCUGAUUGGCUCGGAUCAAAAGUCAUUGCAGGUGAAGGCGCGGCGUUGAAUGGCCUCUCCCCUUCUUCUUCUAAGGCGAGAAGAAGCCUCCCUCCUCCUCCUCCUCCUGUUCCCCGUCUUAGAGCAAGACUGAUGCUUCUCGUUGCAGAAACAGUUUCCGGCUGGAUGGAGAGCAGCCCAACACAGAAGAAUACUAGAAGGGCGGCCCUGUAAGUCAAGCAGAACAUCUUUGCAGCAGAGAAAAACACAAGAUGUGAUAAGGUAAUAUCUUAGUAAAAGAGAGUGGAUGGAUUCUUUGCCUAAAAAUGAGGCUGCUUAUGUGUUUGGUUAAUCCCUUAUUUGUACUUGAGUGGGAUUAAUAAAGCAUAAAGUAGAAAGGGGAGAAGCCAGAUUCACCUCAAUCAUAAGCAAAAAUAAGGCUGUAUUAGAAGAUUUUGACAGGUUUGAACAAAAAGUUGGUUGGAAAAAGCAUCAACCUUGAGAAGCCAAGAAUCUUUAGCAUUGGUUCCCAUACACCCUAUUCCUUUCCUUCCUCUUUAGACCAUCAUUCAAACCCAUCAACUGUCCAAACCCUUAUUGGAUUUAACUAGGGGUGGAUGCACACAUUUUUGCAUAAGUCUCUACUGCUUUUUCUCAUCCAAUGAACGAAAACCUUCAAAUGAGACAAGUGAAUACCUUUUGUUGGAGUUGGAAUCACACUUAGUAUUACAAAUCAUUAGAAAAUGACAUAUUUCAUCAUGGCACUUUCAAAAAUAGAGGCUUGCUUAGCUAGCCAAACUUGAGAAUAGUGAGUCUGCAUAAAGCUAGAUAAAGUAGAAUAAAUGGUGUUAGUACAGAGUAAAAUCACUCACACAAAUUUACCAAGCAUUAUUUUGCUUUUUUUUGCUAAACUCUUACCUUUAGAAGCCCCUCCUCUUUGUUUCUUGUGCUUAAUGGAUUUCCUUUAUGCUUUUCUUUACUUCAUUCUUUAGAUUGUGUGCAGCACUUAGAUAAAUCCUCAUUCAUUCAAACUUGUAAUAGCCUUUCAAAUCCACUCCUAUUUCUUUCCGUUUCUUUUAAUUUUUUGGGGGAUGGAAAAAAGAUAGAAAUUUCACAAAUCCAAGACUUUCUUUUUCUUUUCUUA